RNAcentral lists this ribosomal RNA (253 nucleotides) under uncultured bacterium. RNAcentral describes it as "partial 16S ribosomal RNA". It matches the Rfam family "Bacterial small subunit ribosomal RNA", at positions 524 to 776 of the family's 1533-position model. The record is from RNAcentral.
UACGGGGGGGGCAAGCGUUGUUCGGAAUUACUGGGCGUAAAGGGUUCGUAGGUGGCUUGCUAAGUCAGACGUGAAAUCCCUCAGCUUAACUGGGGAACUGCGUCUGAUACUGGCGAGCUUGAGUGCAGGAGAGGAACGCGGAAUUCCAGGUGUAGCGGUGAAAUGCGUAGAUAUCUGGAGGAACACCGGUGGCGAAGGCGGCAUCCUGGACCGACAUUGACGCUGAGGAGCGAAAGCCAGGGGAGCAAACGGG